RNAcentral lists this ribosomal RNA (435 nucleotides) under uncultured bacterium. RNAcentral's name for it is "bacterial SSU rRNA". It matches the Rfam family "Bacterial small subunit ribosomal RNA", at positions 43 to 524 of the family's 1533-position model. The record is from RNAcentral.
CAGGCCUAACACAUGCAAGUCGAACGCAUCCUUCGGGAUGAGUGGCAGACGGGUGAGUAACACGUGGGAACGUACCCUUUGGUUCGGAACAACUCCGGGAAACUGGAGCUAAUACCGGAUACGCCCUUUUGGGGAAAGGUUUACCGCCGAAGGAUCGGCCCGCGUCUGAUUAGCUGGUUGGUGGGGUAACGGCCUACCAAGGCGACGAUCAGUAGCUGGUCUGAGAGGAUGAUCAGCCACACUGGGACUGAGACACGGCCCAGACUCCUACGGGAGGCAGCAGUGGGGAAUAUUGGACAAUGGGCGCAAGCCUGAUCCAGCCAUGCCGCGUGAGUGAUGAAGGCCUUAGGGUUGUAAAGCUCUUUUGUCCGGGACGAUAAUGACGGUACCGGAAGAAUAAGCCCCGGCUAACUUCGUGCCAGCAGCCGCGGUAAU